This 238-nucleotide unclassified non-coding RNA is filed under the name uncultured fungus. RNAcentral describes it as "partial contains 18S rRNA, ITS1 and 5.8S rRNA". The record is from RNAcentral. Lineage: Eukaryota; Fungi.
UGGUGAACCAGCGGAGGGAUCAUUACCGAGUUUACAACUCCCAAACCCAAUGUGAAUGUUACCAAACAGUUGCCUCGGCGGGGUCACGCCCCGGGUGCGUAAAAGCCCCGGAACCAGGCGCCCGCCGGAGGAACCAACCAAACUCUUUCUGUAGUCCCCUCGCGGACGUAUUUCUUACAGCUCUGAGCAAAAAGUCAAAAUGAAUCAAAACUUUCAACAACGGAUCUCUUGGUUCUGG